Molecule: long non-coding RNA, 2855 nt
Filed under: Equus asinus (donkey)
Lineage: Eukaryota; Metazoa; Chordata; Mammalia; Perissodactyla; Equidae
Description: lncRNA (ENSEASG00005024589.1)
Source: RNAcentral
CGAAGAUGGGCAAGAGAGGCUGGCUUCAGGUGGCAAACUUUAAGCAAAAGAAACACACAAGGGCGUGGAGACCUGGGGAAAAAGCAGCACUGAGAAAUCUACCCUCUGAAACUGACGAGGAUGGGCAACAGAGGCUACCUCAGGUGGCAAUCGUUAAGCAAAAGAAACACACAAGGGCGUGGAGACCUGGGGAAAAAGCAACACGGAGAAAUCCACCCUCUGAAACUGAGGAAGAUGGGCAAGAGAGGCUAGCUCAGGUGGCAAUCGUUAAGCAAAAACAAAACCCAAAGGCGUGGAGACCUGGGGAAAAAGCAACCCUGAAAUAUCUACCCUCUGAAACUGAGGAAGAUGGGCAAGAGAGGCUGGCUUCAGGUGGCAAACUUUAAGCAAAAGAAACACACAAGGGCGUGGAGACCUGGGGAAAAAGCAACACGGAGAAAUCCACCCUCUGAAACUGAGGAAGAUGGGCAAGAGAGGCUAGCUCAGGUGGCAAUCGUUAAGCAAAAGAAACACACAAGGGCGUGGAGACCUGGGGAAAAAGCCACACGGAGAAAUCCACCCUCUGAAACUGAAGAAGAUGGGCAACAGAGGCUAGCUCAGGUGGCAAUCUUUAAGCAAAAAAAAUAAAAUAAAAAAAUACAAUGGCGAGGAGACCCGGUCAAAAAGCAACCCUGAAAAAGGUACCCUCUGAAACUGAGGAAGCAGGGCAACAAUGCCUAGCUCAGGUGACAAUCUUUAAGCAAAAGAAACACACAAGGGCGUGGAGACCUGGGGAAAAAGCAACACGGAGAAAUCCACCCUCUGAAACUGAGGAAGAUGGGCAACAGAGGCUACCUCAGGUGGCAAUCGUUAAGCAAAAACAAAACCCAAAGGCGUGGAGACCUGGGGAAAAAGCAACCCUGAAAUAUCUACCCUCUGAAACUGAGGAAGAUGGGCAAGAGAGGCUGGCUUCAGGUGGCAAACUUUAAGCAAAAGAAACACACAAGGGCGUGGAGACCUGGGGAAAAAGCAGCACUGAGAAUCUACCCUCUGAAACUGACGAGGAUGGGCAACAGAGGCUACCUCAGGUGGCAAUCGUUAAGCAAAAGAAACACACAAGGGCGUGGAGACCUGGGGAAAAAGCAACACGGAGAAAUCCACCCUCUGAAACUGAGGAAGAUGGGCAACAGAGGCUAGCUCAGGUGGCAAUUCUUAAGCAAAAAAAAUAAAUAAAAAAAUACAAUGGCGAGGAGACCCGGUCAAAAAGCAACCCUGAAAAAGGUACCCUCUGAAACUGAGGAAGCAGGGCAACAGUGCCUAGCUCAGGUGGCAAUCUUUAAGCAAAAGAAACACACAAGGGCGUGGAGACCUGGGGAAAAAGCAACACGGAGAAAUCCACCCUCUGAAACUGAGGAAGAUGGGCAAGAGAGGCUGGCUUCAGGUGGCAAUCGUUAAGCAAAAGAAACACACAAGGGCGUGGAGACCUGGGGAAAAAGCAACCCUGAAAUAUCUACCCUCUGAAACUGAGGAAGAUGGGCAAGAGAGGCUGGCUUCAGGUGGCAAACUUUAAGCAAAAGAAACACACAAGGGCGUGGAGACCUGGGGAAAAAGCAACCCUGAUAUAUCUACCCUCUGAAACUGACGAGGAUGGGCAACAGAGGCUACCUCAGGUGGCAAUCGUUAAGCAAAAGAAACACACAAGGGCGUGGAGACCUGGGGAAAAAGCAACACGGAGAAAUCCACCCUCUGAAACCGAAGAAGAUGGGCAACAGAGGCUAGCUCAGGUGGCAAUCUUUAAGCAAAAAAAAUAAAAUAAAAAAAUACAAUGGCGAGGAGACCCGGUCAAAAAGCAACCCUGAAAAAGGUACCCUUUGAAACUGAGGAAGCAGGGCAACAGUGCCUAGCUCAGGCGACAAUCUUUAAGCAAAAGAAACACACAAGGGCGUGGGGAGCUGGCGAAAAGGCAACACUGAGAAAUCCACCCUCUGAAACAGACGAAGAUGGGCAACAGAGGCUAGCUCAGGUGGCAAUCUUUAAGCAAAAGAAACACACAAGGGCGUGGAGACCUGGGGAAAAAGCAACACGGAGAAAUCCACCCUCUGAAACUGAGGAAGAUGGGCAAGAGAGGCUACCUCAGGUGGCAAUCCUUAAGCAAAAACAAAGCACAAAGGCGUGGAGCCCUGGGGACAAAGCAACCCUGAAAUAUCUACCCUCUGAAACUGAGGAACAUGGGCAAGAGAGGCUAGCUCAGGUGGCAAUCGUUAAGCAAAAGAAACACACAAGGGCGUGGAGACCUGGGGAAAAAGCAACACGGAGAAAUCCACCCUCUGAAACUGAGGAACAUGGGCAAAAGAAGCUAGCUCAGGUUGCAACCUUUAAGCAGAAAAAAAAAAAAGACGCAAGGGCGUGGAGAGCUGGCGAAAAAGCAACACUGAGAAAUCUACCCUCUGAAACCGAAGAAGAUGGGCAACAGAGGCUAGCUCAGGUGGCAAUCGUUAAGCAAAAACAAAACCCAAAGGCGUGGAGACCUGGGGAAAAAGCAACCCUGAAAUAUCUACCCUCUGAAACUGAGGAAGAUGGGCAAGAGAGGCUGGCUUCAGGUGGCAAACUUUAAGCAAAAGAAACACACAAGGGCGUGGAGACCUGGGGAAAAAGCAGCACUGAGAAAUCUACCCUCUGAAACCGAAGAAGAUGGGCAACAGAGGCUAGCUCAGGUGGCAAUCUUUAAGCAAAAAAAAUAAAAUAAAAAAAUACAAUGGCGAGGAGACCCGGUCAAAAAGCAACCCUGAAAAAGGUACCCUCUGAAACUGAGGAAGCAGGGCAACAGUGCCUAGCUCAGGUGACAAUCUUUAAGCAAAAAAAAAAAAAAAAAAAAA